UUAAGCGACUAAGCGUACACGGUGGAUGCCCUGGCAGUCAGAGGCGAUGAAGGACGUGCUAAUCUGCGAUAAGCGUCGGUAAGGUGAUAUGAACCGUUAUAACCGGCGAUUUCCGAAUGGGGAAACCCAGUGUGAUUCGUCACACUAUCAUUAACUGAAUCCAUAGGUUAAUGAGGCGAACCGGGGGAACUGAAACAUCUAAGUACCCCGAGGAAAAGAAAUCAACCGAGAUUCCCCCAGUAGCGGCGAGCGAACGGGGAGCAGCCCAGAGCCUGAAUCAGUGUGUGUGUUAGUGGAAGCGUCUGGAAAGGCGCGCGAUACAGGGUGACAGCCCCGUACACAAAAAUGCACAUGCUGUGAGCUCGAUGAGUAGGGCGGGACACGUGGUAUCCUGUCUGAAUAUGGGGGGACCAUCCUCCAAGGCUAAAUACUCCUGACUGACCGAUAGUGAACCAGUACCGUGAGGGAAAGGCGAAAAGAACCCCGGCGAGGGGAGUGAAAAAGAACCUGAAACCGUGUACGUACAAGCAGUGGGAGCACGCUUAGGCGUGUGACUGCGUACCUUUUGUAUAAUGGGUCAGCGACUUAUAUUCUGUAGCAAGGUUAACCGAAUAGGGGAGCCGAAGGGAAACCGAGUCUUAACUGGGCGUUAAGUUGCAGGGUAUAGACCCGAAACCCGGUGAUCUAGCCAUGGGCAGGUUGAAGGUUGGGUAACACUAACUGGAGGACCGAACCGACUAAUGUUGAAAAAUUAGCGGAUGACUUGUGGCUGGGGGUGAAAGGCCAAUCAAACCGGGAGAUAGCUGGUUCUCCCCGAAAGCUAUUUAGGUAGCGCCUCGUGAAUUCAUCUCCGGGGGUAGAGCACUGUUUCGGCAAGGGGGUCAUCCCGACUUACCAACCCGAUGCAAACUGCGAAUACCGGAGAAUGUUAUCACGGGAGACACACGGCGGGUGCUAACGUCCGUCGUGAAGAGGGAAACAACCCAGACCGCCAGCUAAGGUCCCAAAGUCAUGGUUAAGUGGGAAACGAUGUGGGAAGGCCCAGACAGCCAGGAUGUUGGCUUAGAAGCAGCCAUCAUUUAAAGAAAGCGUAAUAGCUCACUGGUCGAGUCGGCCUGCGCGGAAGAUGUAACGGGGCUAAACCAUGCACCGAAGCUGCGGCAGCGACGCUGAUGCGUUGUUGGGUAGGGGAGCGUUCUGUAAGCCUGUGAAGGUGUACUGUGAGGUAUGCUGGAGGUAUCAGAAGUGCGAAUGCUGACAUAAGUAACGAUAAAGCGGGUGAAAAGCCCGCUCGCCGGAAGACCAAGGGUUCCUGUCCAACGUUAAUCGGGGCAGGGUGAGUCGACCCCUAAGGCGAGGCCGAAAGGCGUAGUCGAUGGGAAACAGGUUAAUAUUCCUGUACUUGGUGUUACUGCGAAGGGGGGACGGAGAAGGCUAUGUUGGCCGGGCGACGGUUGUCCCGGUUUAAGCGUGUAGGCUGGUUUUCCAGGCAAAUCCGGAAAAUCAAGGCUGAGGCGUGAUGACGAGGCACUACGGUGCUGAAGCAACAAAUGCCCUGCUUCCAGGAAAAGCCUCUAAGCAUCAGGUAACAUCAAAUCGUACCCCAAACCGACACAGGUGGUCAGGUAGAGAAUACCAAGGCGCUUGAGAGAACUCGGGUGAAGGAACUAGGCAAAAUGGUGCCGUAACUUCGGGAGAAGGCACGCUGAUAUGUAGGUGAAGUCCCUCGCGGAUGGAGCUGAAAUCAGUCGAAGAUACCAGCUGGCUGCAACUGUUUAUUAAAAACACAGCACUGUGCAAACACGAAAGUGGACGUAUACGGUGUGACGCCUGCCCGGUGCCGGAAGGUUAAUUGAUGGGGUUAGCGCAAGCGAAGCUCUUGAUCGAAGCCCCGGUAAACGGCGGCCGUAACUAUAACGGUCCUAAGGUAGCGAAAUUCCUUGUCGGGUAAGUUCCGACCUGCACGAAUGGCGUAAUGAUGGCCAGGCUGUCUCCACCCGAGACUCAGUGAAAUUGAACUCGCUGUGAAGAUGCAGUGUACCCGCGGCAAGACGGAAAGACCCCGUGAACCUUUACUAUAGCUUGACACUGAACAUUGAGCCUUGAUGUGUAGGAUAGGUGGGAGGCUUUGAAGUGUGGACGCCAGUCUGCAUGGAGCCGACCUUGAAAUACCACCCGUUUAAUCGUUUGAUGUUCUAACGUGGACCCGUAAUCCGGGUUGCGGACAGUGUCUGGUGGGUAGUUU
This 2245-nucleotide ribosomal RNA is filed under the name Escherichia coli H120. Its description in RNAcentral is "bacterial LSU rRNA". It matches the Rfam family "Bacterial large subunit ribosomal RNA", at positions 1 to 2271 of the family's 2925-position model. The record is from RNAcentral. Lineage: Bacteria; Pseudomonadati; Pseudomonadota; Gammaproteobacteria; Enterobacterales; Enterobacteriaceae.